This 451-nucleotide ribosomal RNA is filed under the name uncultured bacterium. RNAcentral's name for it is "bacterial SSU rRNA". It matches the Rfam family "Bacterial small subunit ribosomal RNA", at positions 98 to 584 of the family's 1533-position model. The record is from RNAcentral.
GCGAACGGGUGAGUAACGCGUGGGAACGUGCCCAGAGGUACGGAAUAGCCCAGGGAAACUUGGAGUAAUACCGUAUACGCCCUACGGGGGAAAGAUUUAUCGCCUUUGGAUCGGCCCGCGUUGGAUUAGGUAGUUGGUGGGGUAAUGGCCUACCAAGCCGACGAUCCAUAGCUGGUUUGAGAGGAUGAUCAGCCACACUGGGACUGAGACACGGCCCAGACUCCUACGGGAGGCAGCAGUGGGGAAUCUUGGACAAUGGGGGAAACCCUGAUCCAGCCAUGCCGCGUGAGCGAUGAAGGCCUUAAGGUUGUAAAGCUCUUUCACCGGGGAAGAUAAUGACGGUACCCGGAGAAGAAGCCCCGGCUAACUCCGUGCCAGCAGCCGCGGUAAUACGGAGGGGGCUAGCGUUGUUCGGAAUUACUGGGCGUAAAGCGCGCGUAGGCGGAUUGUU